GUCUUUCCCAUGCUAUUCUCGUGGUGGUGAAUAAGUCUCACAAGAUCUGACGGGUUUAUCAGGGGUUUCCGCUUUUGCUUCUUCCUCAUUUUUCUCUUGCCCCUUGCCACGCAAGAAGUGCCUUUUGCCUCCCACCAUAAUUCUGAGGCCUCCCCAACCAUGUGGAACUGCCUAUCUGUUUGCAAGUCUGCACUGUUUGAGAACCUCUUGAAAGCCCCACAGAGCUUGUUGGUGUCACCCUGGUUCUGGGCACACUCCAAAAACUGUUUGAUCUCAUGGAAACAAGGCUGCUGCUGCUGUGCUGGCCAGGUUCCCUGAUGCUGCUGAUGGAGUCUCACUUUGUCACCAAGCUGGAGUGUGGUGGCAUGAUCUUGGCUCACUGCAACCUCCCAGGUUCAAGCUAUUCUCCUGCCUCAGCCUCCCGAGUAGCUGGGACUACAGGCGCACGCCACCACACCCAGCUAAUUUUUGUAUUUUUAGUAGAGACAGGGUUUCACCAUGUUCGCCAGGGUGGUCUCUAUUUCUUGACCUCGUGAUUUGCCCACCUUGGCCUUCCAAAGUGCUGGGAUUACAGGCAUGAGUCACUGUGCCCGGCCUAAUUUUGAUUUUUUAAAACAUUUAAUUAAAAUGUUAUUUAAUUACUGAGUUUUUGGUAUCCCUGUCAUUUUUGUGCCCUGGGAAAGAAAGUACCUCCCCACCUUACCCAGCCCUGGCCCUGCUGGAGAGGCAGUAGGGGUUAGGAAGGCGCUGUGGGACGUGGGAUUAGGUAAGCAUGGCAUUUUUCUGAGUGUUAUAUGAGGUGUUUUGAAGAGAAAGUCUUAAAGGCACCAAGGUGGGUGUACUAGUCUGCUCAAGCUGCCAUCACAAAAUCCCUAAGGCUGGAUGGCCCAAACAAUGAACACUUAUUUUCUCAUAGCUCUGGAGGCUGGAAAUCCAAGGUCAAGGUGCCUGCAGGGUAGGUUUCUGGUGAGGCCUCUCUCCCUGGCUCGCAGAUGUCCACCUUCUCACUGGAUGCUCACAUGAACUCUUUUUUUGUGUUCACUUGGAGAGAGAGUCAUGGUGCCAGUUCUUUUUCUUUUCUGAGACAGAGCCUCACUCUGUCACCUAGGCUGGAGUGCAGUGGUGUGAUCAUGGCUCACUGCAGCC
This 1146-nucleotide long non-coding RNA is filed under the name Homo sapiens (human). Lineage: Eukaryota; Metazoa; Chordata; Mammalia; Primates; Hominidae. The record is from RNAcentral.